This 253-nucleotide ribosomal RNA is filed under the name uncultured bacterium. RNAcentral's name for it is "partial 16S ribosomal RNA". It matches the Rfam family "Bacterial small subunit ribosomal RNA", at positions 524 to 776 of the family's 1533-position model. The record is from RNAcentral.
UACGUAGGGGGCUAGCGUUGUCCGGAUUUAUUGGGCGUAAAGAGCGUGUAGGCGGCCAGGUAGGUCUGCUGUGAAAACUCGAGGCUCAACCUCGAGACGCCGAUGGAAACCGUCUGGCUAGAGUCCGGAAGAGGAGAGUGGAAUUCCCGGUGUAGCGGUGAAAUGCGCAGAUAUCGGGAAGAACACCCGUGGCUAAGGCGGCUCUCUAGUACGGUACUGACGCUGAGACGCGAAAGCGUGGGGAGCGAACAGG